This 74-nucleotide transfer RNA is filed under the name Canis lupus familiaris (dog). It matches the Rfam family "tRNA". Rfam says of the family: Transfer RNA (tRNA) molecules are approximately 80 nucleotides in length. Their secondary structure includes four short double-helical elements and three loops (D, anti-codon, and T loops). Lineage: Eukaryota; Metazoa; Chordata; Mammalia; Carnivora; Canidae. The record is from Rfam by way of RNAcentral. RNAcentral also lists the same sequence under 1 other name.
GCCUGUCUGGCUCAGAUGGUAAGAGCAUGAGACUCUUGAUCUCGGAGUCAUGAGUUCAAGCCUCAUGUGGGACA